UACACUCCUACGGGAGGCAGCAGUGGGGAAUAUUGCACAAUGGGCGCAAGCCUGAUGCAGCGACGCCGCGUGGGGGAUGAAGGCCUUCGGGUUGUAAACUCCUUUCGCUAGGGACGAAGCUUUUUUGUGACGGUACCUAGAUAAGAAGCACCGGCUAACUACGUGCCAGCAGCCGCGGUAAUACGUAGGGUGCGAGCGUUGUCCGGAAUUACUGGGCGUAAAGGGCUCGUAGGUGGUUUGUCGCGUCGUCUGUGAAAUUCUGGGGCUUAACUCCGGGCGUGCAGGCGAUACGGGCAUAACUUGAGUGCUGUAGGGGUAACUGGAAUUCCUGGUGUAGCGGUGAAAUGCGCAGAUAUCAGGAGGAACACCGAUGGCGAAGGCAGGUUACUGGGCAGUUACUGACGCUGAGGAGCGAAAGCAUGGGUAGCGAACAGGAUUAGAAACCCCGGUAGUCCC
This 456-nucleotide ribosomal RNA is filed under the name uncultured organism. RNAcentral describes it as "partial 16S ribosomal RNA". It matches the Rfam family "Bacterial small subunit ribosomal RNA", at positions 332 to 797 of the family's 1533-position model. The record is from RNAcentral.